Molecule: long non-coding RNA, 951 nt
Filed under: Equus caballus (horse)
Lineage: Eukaryota; Metazoa; Chordata; Mammalia; Perissodactyla; Equidae
Description: lncRNA (ENSECAG00000036018.3)
Source: RNAcentral
CUUCAGAGUGUAACUGAAACGCGCUCUUCUCGGAUCUCAAGCCGCUGGGUUCUCGACCGGAAGUCACGCCAUCUGCUCUCGCGUUGUCCAGUUUAACGCGGACACAGAUUUUGGGACUUCUCGGUCUCCAUACUCCUGUGAGCCAAUUCCGAGAUUUGCGGUCAGCAACCUGGAGAACCGUGGAGCCGAUGAUCUAAUUUCCGGUCGGAAACGCAGCAGGGUUGAGAUCUGAGAAGAACCGUUUAUUCAGUUCCACUCUGAAGUUUUUACUUCUUCUCAGUCUACAUAAUUUGGCUGAGUCCUCAAAUAAAAAAUUGAUGCUCACAACCAGAAGGACCCACAACGAGAAUAUACAACUAUGUACUAAGGGGCUUUGGGGAGAAGAGGAAGAAAAAAAAUUAAUGAAAAGCAAUUUUAUUAUGGAAUAGCAUGGUCAAUUUAGUAUGGGACUGCAACCAAUUAAGGAAAGAAGGUUUUUGCUGAUUAAUUAAAAUUAACAGAAAUUAUUCAAAUACUGUGUGGAUGAAUUAUAUAAACACCCCUACCCACCCACCUCCACAAGUGCCUGAAGUUACGCAACACUAUCUGGUGAUUUGAAGAGCAAAGGCCUUCAUUUGUUAGAGGCGAAGAAGGUGAGCAGAAUAAACAUUAACUUAUUCUAACUGGCCAAGUCUGCAGGAGAUGCAAUAGGUCUGAGAGACUGAAAUAGGAGUAGAACCACCACCUAGAGAGAAUUGUGAUGCUCAACAUUACAUAACUCCUUAGAGCUAGAUCUGGAACUAGAGUUUUUUCAAGUUGUACUUUUAUCUCAGACAAAUAAAUAUUGAAAUUAUUUAAUUCAUUACUUUGUCUUUAUCUCUUUUAAGAUCCAGUAUGCAGUAAACAUUCAAAUUUGUAUAAAAGUGUGGUACACAAAUUUCCCUGAAAAUCUUUAGAAUGUCUCAAGUUCUA